GUGGGGAAUCUUGCGCAAUGGGCGAAAGCCUGACGCAGCAACGCCGCGUGCGGGAUGACGGCCUUCGUGGUUGUAAACCGCUUUCAGCAGGGACGAAAAUGACGGUACCUGCAGAAGAAGCCCCGGCUAACUACGUGCCAGCAGCCGCGGUAAUACGUAGGGGGCAAGCGUUGUCCGGAUUCAUUGGGCGUAAAGAGCUCGUAGGCGGUUCAGUAAGUCGGGUGUGAAAGCUCCGAGCUCAACUCGGAGAGGCCACCCGAUACUGCUGUGACUUGAGUCCAGUAGAGGAGCGUGGAACUCCUGGUGUAGCGGUGGAAUGCGCAGAUAUCAGGAAGAACACCUGCAGCGAAGGCGGCGCUCUGGGCUGGAACUGACGCUGAGGAGCGAAAGCGUGGGUAGCAAACAGGAUUAGAAACCCCAGUAGUCC
Molecule: ribosomal RNA, 427 nt
Filed under: uncultured bacterium
Lineage: Bacteria
Description: bacterial SSU rRNA
Rfam family: Bacterial small subunit ribosomal RNA
Source: RNAcentral